AUGAAGUUUUCGGAUGGAUUCCUGGUUGACUGAGUGGCGGACGGGUGAGUAACGCGUGGAUAACCUGCCUCACACUGGGGGAUAACAGUUAGAAAUGGCUGCUAAUACCGCAUAAGCGCACAGUACCGCAUGGUACGGUGUGAAAAACCCAGGUGGUGUGAGAUGGAUCCGCGUCUGAUUAGCCAGUUGGCGGGGUAACGGCCCACCAAAGCGACGAUCAGUAGCCGACCUGAGAGGGUGACCGGCCACAUUGGGACUGAGACACGGCCCAAACUCCUACGGGAGGCAGCAGUGGGGAAUAUUGCACAAUGGGCGAAAGCCUGAUGCAGCGACGCCGCGUGAGUGAAGAAGUAUCUCGGUAUGUAAAGCUCUAUCAGCAGGGAAGAAAAUGACGGUACCUGACUAAGAAGCCCCGGCUAACUACGUGCCAGCAGCCGCGGUAAUACGUAGGGGGCAAGCGUUAUCCGGAUUUACUGGGUGUAAAGGGAGCGUAGACGGCGACGCAAGUCUGGAGUGAAAGCCCGGGGCCCAACCCCGGGACUGCUUUGGAAACUGUGCUGCUGGAGUGCAGGAGAGGUAAGUGGAAUUCCUAGUGUAGCGGUGAAAUGCGUAGAUAUUAGGAGGAACACCAGUGGCGAAGGCGGCUUACUGGACUGUAACUGAC
This 664-nucleotide ribosomal RNA is filed under the name uncultured Lachnospiraceae bacterium. Its description in RNAcentral is "bacterial SSU rRNA". It matches the Rfam family "Bacterial small subunit ribosomal RNA", at positions 66 to 744 of the family's 1533-position model. Lineage: Bacteria; Bacillati; Bacillota; Clostridia; Lachnospirales; Lachnospiraceae. The record is from RNAcentral.